This 119-nucleotide ribosomal RNA is filed under the name Pteropus alecto (black flying fox). Lineage: Eukaryota; Metazoa; Chordata; Mammalia; Chiroptera; Pteropodidae. The record is from RNAcentral.
GUCUAUGGCCAUGCUACCCUAAACAAGCCUGAUCCCGUCUGAUCUCGGAAGCUAAGCAGGGUUGAGAAUGGUUAGUACUUGGAUGGGAGACCACCUAGGAAGACCAGGUGCUGUAAGUG